CUGUUAGAGCAAUCGAAGCAGUGAACUUAAGCCCCAGUAAACGGCGGCCGUAACUAUAACGGUCCUAAGGUAGCGAAAUUCCUUGUCGGGUAAGUUCCGACCCGCACGAAAGGCGUAACGAUUUGGGCACUGUCUCAACAACAGACUCGGUGAAAUUGUAAUUCAGGUGCAGAUGCCGGAUACCUGCGACAGGACGGAAAGACCCCAUGGAGCUUUACUGUAGCUUGACAUUGGGUCUUGGUACUACAUGUACAGGAUAGGUGGGAGGCGUUGAAACCAGGACGCCAGUUUUGGAGGAGCCAUCCUUGGGAUACCACCCUUGUAGUACUGGGACUCUAACCAUAGGCCAUGAAUCUGUUCUUGGGACACUGUCAGGUGGGCAGUUUGACUGGGGCGGUCGCCUCCCAAAAGG
Molecule: ribosomal RNA, 412 nt
Filed under: Clostridioides difficile
Lineage: Bacteria; Bacillati; Bacillota; Clostridia; Peptostreptococcales; Peptostreptococcaceae
Description: bacterial LSU rRNA
Rfam family: Bacterial large subunit ribosomal RNA
Source: RNAcentral